Molecule: ribosomal RNA, 484 nt
Filed under: uncultured bacterium
Lineage: Bacteria
Description: partial 16S ribosomal RNA
Rfam family: Bacterial small subunit ribosomal RNA
Source: RNAcentral
AUUGAACGCUGGCGGCGGGCCUAACACAUGCAAGUCGAGCGGAUGAAGGGAGCUUGCUCCUGGAUUCAGCGGCGGACGGGUGAGUAAUGCCUAGGAAUCUGCCUGGUCGUGGGGGAUAACGUCCGGAAACGGGCGCUAAUACCGCAUACGUCCUGAGGGAGAAAGUGGGGGAUCUUCGGACCUCACGCUAUCAGAUGAGCCUAGGUCGGAUUAGCUAGUUGGUGGGGUAAAGGCCUACCAAGGCGACGAUCCGUAACUGGUCUGAGAGGAUGAUCAGUCACACUGGAACUGAGACACGGUCCAGACUCCUACGGGAGGCAGCAGUGGGGAAUAUUAGACAAUGGGCGAAAGCCUGAUCCAGCCAUGCCGCGUGUGUGAAGAAGGUCUUCGGAUUGUAAAGCACUUUAAGUUGGGAGGAAGGGCAGUAAGUUAAUACCUUGCUGUUUUGACGGUACCAACAGAAUAAGCACCGGCUAACUUCGUG